UUACGGGAGGCAGCAGUGAGGAAUAUUGGACAAUGGGCGGAAGCCUGAUCCAGCAAUACCGCGUGUGUGAAGAAGGCCUUAGGGUUGUAAAGCACUUUCAAUGGGGAGGAAUACCUUUUAGCUAAUACCUAGAAGAAUGACAUUACCUAUAGAAGAAGCACCGGCUAACUCCGUGCCAGCAGCCGCGGUAAUACGGAGGGUGCAAGCGUUAAUCGGAAUUACUGGGCGUAAAGCGUGCGUAGGCGGCUUGAUAAGCCAGAUGUGAAAGCCCUGGGCUUAACCUGGGAACUGCAUUUGGAACUGUUAGGCUAGAGUUGAGUAGAGGUAAGUGGAAUUUCAGGUGUAGCGGUGAAAUGCGUAGAGAUCUGAAGGAACACCAGUGGCGAAGGCGACUUACUGGACUCAAACUGACGCUGAGGUACGAAAGCGUGGGUAGCAAACAGGAUUAGAUACCCCGGU
RNAcentral lists this ribosomal RNA (459 nucleotides) under uncultured bacterium. RNAcentral's name for it is "bacterial SSU rRNA". It matches the Rfam family "Bacterial small subunit ribosomal RNA", at positions 339 to 791 of the family's 1533-position model. The record is from RNAcentral.